CAGGCCCUGCUCCCGAGGGGCUACCAGCCCAGAGGUGCCAAGAACGACAGGUCCAUGAGGCAGAUCCACCAGGGAUGCGGCGGCUACAGUGGGGGUGUGUGCCCACACGUGAGGAGGGUUAGGGGAUCUACCUAAGGCAGGUGGAAUCAAGGUGCCUCAUGGUGGACGUAACACCAGAGCAGAUUCAAGUCACAGAAAGUAGUAGACCUUGAGGGGAUCCCUGGGUGGCUCAGCAGUUUGGCACCUGCCUUUGGCCCAAGGUGUGAUCCUGGAGUCCCGGGAUCGAGUCCCUUGUCGGGCUCCUGGCAUGGAGCCUGCUUCUCCCUCUGCCUGUGUCUCUGCCUCUCUCUCUCUCUCUAUGUCUAGCAUAAAAAUAAAUAAAUAAAUAAAUAAAUAAAUAAAUAAAUAAAUAAAUAAAUAAAUAAAUCUUUUUUAAAAAACAAAGAAGUAGACCUUGAAGGGGAGGGGAAGGGGAGAAGCGUUCAAGGAAAACCAAGAGAACAUCUUUGGAAGGAUAAUUCAUUUCUAUGAGAAGAAGCCUGGAGCUUUUUUUUUUCUUCCUUCACUUUACUCACAAAAUCCAGUGAGUUUCUGAUUCAUAAGCAUCCGUCACUGUAUUGGAGAGAGGGUCUUAAAGCCAAUAACAGGAUGCCUUUCCAGGAACAGAUCUGUGUCUUCAUUUAUGCUUCUGGAAACCAGGUCACACUUCAGAGGCACGGCCUCAAUUCUUCUAAAAACCUGGGACACCUUUACAAGUUGCAUCCUUGAUGUAGGGAAAUUAUCCCACAUUAUCUGUCAUUACAGCACAGCUAUUAAUUAAAAUCCCGGGUGUAUCAAUGGCUUUUGGAAAUCCGGGAAAGGUUUUAGCAGCUCGUAUAAAAUACUGAGGACACUUUUCUGUUCCGUACUACAGCGCUGAUACACCUGCUGCAAAUACCCUUUCUUUUAUAUAAAAUAAAUAUUUACGUUCACUAAUGGAGCUCAGGCUUCCUGGAGCGCCCUUCCUCUGCCCCCCCCCCUGACCUGCACUCAACCGGGGCGGCCAGAAGUCUCACCUUCUUGGGAAUCUCUUCCUAACUCAUGGGACAGAAGUCUUUCCUGUUUGCUCCCUCAUCUUCCUAUGCUUCUCAUCCUAACAAACGUCCUGUGUCCCUCUCCUUCACAACACUUACGGGGUUCAUGGACCAGAGAUCCUCAGGGAUCCCCAGGACAAUGCUGCAGUUACAAGAGAAGAUUCCAGGGGCACCUGGUGCCUCAGUGGUUGAGCAUCUGCCUUGGGCUCAGGGCGUGACCCCCGGGGUCCUGGGACCGCAGGGAGCCUGCUUCUCCCUCUGCCUGGGUCCCUGCCUCUCUCUGUGGGUCUCUCAUGAGUAAACAAAUAGCAUCUCAAAUAAAAAACUAAGAAGAGGGAAGAUUCCAGAGCUGCCUGGGACUAAAUCCCGGCUCUACCACUCAGGGUCUCUAUGACUGGAUGUACUCAACCUGUUUACCCCUUGGUCUCCUCAAAGGUAAAAUGGGACCAUAAUGACAUCUACCUCAUGGGGCUGUUAUGAAGAUAAGGUGAUCUAAUAUUUUUAAAGCAUUUAUUCUGACACUUGAUCCAUCCUAAGUACCAUACGAGGGUAGCUAUUUUGUAAUCACUUAACCAUUUCGUUAUGCUCAGGACUAACGUGCCUCCUGGCACCAAAUACAUAAUAAAUACGUGUGGAAUAAAUGAAUGGAAGAAAAUCAUUGACAGGAUUUUGUUCCCCCUUCUGACUCUCCCCACUUCUCCUGCCUCCCCCCUUUCUCCCAGGCCCUUCUCCCUCUCUCUCUCACAGUUCAGACAUCCCGUCAAUACUCCAAGUCAUUAUAAAAUCCUUGGAUUAGACUCCGUGAAAUUCCACACACCUUCUUUGUUUCGCUGAAAGGUCAGGCUUGAUUAAAGAUAUCUAAGUCUGUUUCUCCCCAAGGACUAUUCUUUAGAAAUAACACAAAAUAGUUUAGACAGUUAUUACGGUCCCAGAAGAAUUGGGGCAAUCCUCAAAAUGAGUCUGUCAUGUAGAUCAUGGUCAGUAUUUGUUAGCCAAGAUCACGUAUAACUUUCGAGAUAAUCACACAGAUUUUCACUAUACACAGAUGGCAGCCCCAAAUGUAAAGUGUAGACUAAUGCAAAAAAGGAUCUACAAGCACUCUUAGACAAGACAAAACAAUCAAAAUGGACAGGAGUGCUGGUGAGUGGUAAGAAGAAACUUACCUGUAUUUUAACAGACCUAGAAGCUAUAGAGGAAGUUAUCAGUUUUUUUAAUAUUUAAUUUAAUUAAACAAUUAAAUAAUUAAAUAAUUAAAUAAUUAUUAAUUAUUAAAUGAUAUUGUUAAUAUUAUAAUUAUUAAUUAUUAUUAAUAUCAUUAAAUAAUAUUUAAUUUAAUUAUUUAAUAUUAUAUUUUGAAUGUUUUAAUAUUUAAUAUUUUCAUUUUAAUAAAGAUAUUUUAAAUAUUUUUUUAAAUUUAUUUAUGAUAGUCACAGAGAGAGAGAGAGGCAGAGACACAGGCAGAGGGAGAAGCAGGCUCCAUGCACCGGGAGCCUGACGUGGGAUUCGAUCCCGGGUCUCCAGGAUCGCACCCUGGGCCAAAGGCAGGUGCCAAACCGCUGCGCCACCCAGGGAUCCCUAUUUUAAAUAUUUUUAAGAUUAAAUUAAAUUUAAAUUUUUAAUUACUGAGUACCUAAUAUGUGCCAGGUUCUAUAAUAGAAACUGUUACUUGUAUUUUUCACUAUGUUAUACUGAUUAAAUAAUAAUAAUGAUAAUAAUAACUUUGACCAAAUCACAAAUAAGAAUUAAUAAUUCCCCAAGUCACCCUUUUCUUACAGUUCUCAAAGAGUGGUAAAUGGCUGCAAGGCUUUGACAGGUUCUUAGAUUUCAAUUCAACACAAGUAUUCACAUUAAUGAGAAAUCAUUUUAAAAUUUUGCUUUCUUAUAAUUUCCUUAGAGAAAGCAACCAAGAUUAGUAGGCUCACCGUCUCACACCACAGCAUAUCAUUAUAUAGGACACAUGUACUACUCAGAAAUUCACAGUAAAAGCAGCAAUGACCCUAGACUAUCAGUAUUUACAGGUUCGCAGAGAGCCUGAUUUCUAAGAAGAGUUAAGUGAACAUUAGAUGUUAUAUUUGGAUUUGAUACUUUGAUAUUAUGAUUAAUAAAGAUCAUUCAAUAUAAUGAAUUCUGUUCAUUCGAUUGUGUGUAAAGAAAAACUGUGAUUGUAGAUCCAGGUAGACAGACAGACAGAUAGAUAAGCAGAAAAAGCAUGUGUCCAUUAUAGAAUACUUAGUAAUAAAUAAAUGCUGCUAUGGUUAAUAUUUGACCUUUUAAACAGGUAAAGAUUGCCAACGUACAAAUAAAGGAUAAGCUGCAGGUAAGUCAGACAUCUAACUCUACAAAAUUACUUGUAGAAUUUGUAGAAUUUCUGGUAGCAUUUCUCAGUUUCCCAUUUACUCAACUCUAAAGUUAUGCGAAAUAAUCUUAUUCAUUUGAAAGAAAACAUAUCUGUAAAUAUGUUUACAUAUAUUUUGUAAAUAUGAAUAUUUUAUAUAAUUAUGUAUCACAGAGUUAUCUUGAAAACGAACAUUGAACAGAACAUAAAUUUUACCAAUUUAUGUAAUUUUGACCAGAAAAGACUUGGAUAGAAUUU
This 3666-nucleotide long non-coding RNA is filed under the name Canis lupus familiaris (dog). RNAcentral's name for it is "lncRNA (ENSCAFG00000053033.1)". Lineage: Eukaryota; Metazoa; Chordata; Mammalia; Carnivora; Canidae. The record is from RNAcentral.